AUUGGGUUGCCAAAAUGCAAAUAAACCCCUCAACUUUUACUUUAAUACACUGCCCGAACUGGGCUGUUCGCGCAGGCGGGGACCGCUCUCUCCUUCAGGGACCGGUUCCCGAAGGCUCUCCCCGCGCAGCCAGAGCUGCUGCGCGCAGGGCAACCGGUCUCUCCUUGGGGGGACCGGUCUCUCGGGGACCGGUCUCUCAGGCAGGGACCGGUUCCCGAGAGCUGGUUUCUCAGGACUUAGCCGAUUUUUCGGCUGUCUCAAUUCAUACGCGUUCGGGGACUGGUCUCUCCCACUAGGGACCGGUCCUCGAGAGCUCAAAACUGCAGAAUGCAGAUUUUUUGAUCCUUUAGCUCUCGAAAACCUCCCGUAAUUCACUUUUAAUCAUUUUAACACCUUCGGACUUUCCAAAGUGUACCGUCCUCGCACUUUGGUCAAUUUGACUAAAGUUCGACACCUUUAUUUUUCGAAUUUUCGGUAUAUUACAUUCUCCACUCCUUAAAAUAAUUUCGUUCGCGAAAUUACGCAUACCUUAAUUUGUCGACUCAAACAGAUGCGGAUACUCUCGCCGCAU
This 571-nucleotide long non-coding RNA is filed under the name Ananas comosus (pineapple). RNAcentral describes it as "long non-coding RNA (ACOM_LNC038511)". Lineage: Eukaryota; Viridiplantae; Streptophyta; Magnoliopsida; Poales; Bromeliaceae. The record is from RNAcentral.